Long non-coding RNA from Oncorhynchus tshawytscha (Chinook salmon), 1284 nucleotides. RefSeq lists it as uncharacterized. The transcript is spliced from 3 exons. Lineage: Eukaryota; Metazoa; Chordata; Actinopteri; Salmoniformes; Salmonidae. The record is from RefSeq and is a predicted model, not a curated record.
UAACCCUAUCACUGGGCCUCCAUCAAGUAGGUACCCCAUAACCCUACCACUGGGCCUCCAUCAAGUAGGUACCCAUAACCCUACCACUGGGCCUCCAUCAAGUAGGUAACCAUAACCCUACCACUGGGCCUCCAUCAAGCAGGUACCCAUAACCCUACCACUGGGCCUCCAUCAAGUAGUACCCCAUAACCCUACCACUGGGCCUCCAUCAAGUAGGUACCCAUAACCCUACCACUGGGCCUCCAUCAAGUAGUAACCAUAACCCUACCACUGGGCCUCCAUCAAGUAGGUACCCAUAACCCUAACCCUACCACUGGGCCUCCAUCAAGUAGGUACCCAUAACCCUACCACUGGGCCUCCAUCAAGUAGGUACCCAUAACCCUACCACUGGGCCUCCAUCAAGCAGGUACCCAUAACCCUACCACUGGGCCUCCAUCAAGCAGGUACCCAUAACCCUACCACUGGGCCUCCAUCAAGGGUACCCAUAACCCUACCACUGGGCCUCCAUCAAGUAGGUACCCAUAACCCUACCACUGGGCCUCCAUCAAGUAGGUACCCAUAACCCUAUCACUGGGCCUCCAUCAAGUAGGUAGCCAUAACCCUAUCACUGGGCCUCCAUCAAGUAGGUAACCAUAACCCUAUCACUGGGCCUCCAUCAAGUAGGUAACCAUAACCCUAUCACUGGGCCUCCACCAAGUAGGUACCCAUAACCCUAUCACUGGGCCUCCACCAAGUAGGUACCCAUAACCCUAUCACUGGGCCUCCAUCAAGUAGGUACCCAUAACCCUAUCACUGGGCCUCCAUCAAGUAGGUACCCAUAACCCUAUCACUGGGCCUCCAUCAAGUAGGUAACCAUAACCCUAUCACUGGGCCUCCAUCAAGUAGGUAACCAUAACCCUAUCACUGGGCCUCCAUCAAGUAGGUAACCAUAACCCUACCACUGGGCCUCCAUCAAGUAGGUAACCAUAACCCUACCACUGGGCCUCCAUCAAGUAGGUAACCAUAACCCUACCACUGGGCCUCCAUCAAGUAGGUAACCAUAACCCUACCACUGGGCCUCCAUCAAGUAGGUAACCAUAACCCUACCACUGGGCCUCCAUCAAGUAGGUAACCAUAACCCUAUCACUGGGCCUCCACCAAGUAGGUAACCAUAACCCUGUCACUGGGCCUCCAUCAAGUAGGUAACCAUAAGCCUACCACUGGGCCUCCAUCAAGUAGGUAACCAUAAGCCUACCACUGGGCCUCCAUCAAGUAGGUAACCAUAAGCCUACCACUGGGCCUCCA